AAAAAUUCUAAGUUUGGGGUUAGGACACCGGUAAGAACUAGAUAAGUGCAGAUAAGAUGAAAAGAAAAGAAAAGAAAAGAAAAAAAAUUGUUAUGAAACUUCAAUAGAAAAAAGAAAAAAAAUGAGAAGUAGAAUAAAGCACUUAUCUAAAGGAGAUUUAGUUUGGCGAAAAGCAUGCUCAAAGAAACACAUGAGUAAAAAAAAACUAAUGAAUCCUAACAAGAACGGUUUCUAAAAAUCUCUAAGGUGAACGAUUCAACACGGUGAUGAGGAUGACAACACGGAUUCUGAGCCUAAACCAC
RNAcentral lists this long non-coding RNA (302 nucleotides) under Lathyrus oleraceus (garden pea). RNAcentral describes it as "Pisum sativum (pea) long non-coding RNA (PSAT_LNC006728)". The record is from RNAcentral. Lineage: Eukaryota; Viridiplantae; Streptophyta; Magnoliopsida; Fabales; Fabaceae.